GUCACCUCGAAAAUAAAGAUAAUGUAGUGAAGCUCGUUCUGAACUGAAUUACAUUCAAGCGAUUCUGAAUCACUUGAAUGCUAUGCGAAAAAUCUCGUUUACACAGACCAAUUCUCAGUCCUAGUGGAGACCAUACCAAGCAAAGGAAUUUCAGUAGGAGAAGGAAAAGCUAAAGGUAGGAGAAUGAAUUCCAUCAACCUAUGAAACUGUGGAAUACAUCCUCUAGCGAGUGAAGUGAGGUCGGACAACCGCGAAGGGAGAUAUCCGUAGGCGUAUAGGUGUAUCCCAGCUCUAUUGCUUUCAGCUGAAGAUGGAGAGGUUGAUGACUCGGACUUAGGACGUGAAGCUACUAUGGGAGAAAUUGUGUUUGGAAGAAAUCCAUUGAUAAAAGGGUGGAUUGAAAGUAGAAGAGAGCUUAUGCUCGACUGUAUAAAAUAUAGAUUUUCUCUUCCAGCCAGUAAAGUGAACCUUAGUCUUUUGUCUUUCCUUUAGGAAAUGUGAAUUGUUUCUUUCUAGCCUUAUCAGCAGACCUGCGAGCAGCACCCCAAACCUUAUGAUGAACACCAAAAAUGCCAGGUCGCCUAAGAAAAGAAGUUUCAUGUUGGAUUCGGUGAAGAUGCCUCGCAAAAACCUUAGGAACCUACUUCUUUUUGUUCAGUGAGAUGAAGGCAUCCCGCUUACGGAGAAAUCAAAUCGAACUACUUUAGAGACUUCCAUGACAACCAGCCCACGCACGCACUUUCCUGCACCCGCUCGCAAUAGAGGCAAUGAAAUGGAUUCCCCGAUCCUUCUUAUUAUGGUGUUUGAACUGAUGACAAUCUUCCUUGCUUUUUUCGAUGCUUCAGAUCCCGAUGCUGGAUACGCAGAUUAUGAUCCCAAUAAUGCCAAUCAUCCAAUCAUUCAUUUGACUAUCAUGCCUACCUGAACGAUUACCAAGCCCAGCCCUUGACUCUCCCUAAAAAGUGUAAAUUUAUACUACAAAACCCUCAAAGGUGGAUCUCCUUUUGACUAUCCUCCCCUAUCCCUCGAUUGGCAUUCGUGUUCAAACACCUGUGCUCU
RNAcentral lists this long non-coding RNA (1059 nucleotides) under Elaeis guineensis (African oil palm). RNAcentral's name for it is "long non-coding RNA (EGUI_LNC069411)". The record is from RNAcentral. Lineage: Eukaryota; Viridiplantae; Streptophyta; Magnoliopsida; Arecales; Arecaceae.